CAGCCCUCAACUCCCGGUCGGGUUGUCUCCCCGCCGGUCUCCCGCCCCCAGCUACCGGGUCCGCCAGGGUCAGGAGCCCGAGAUUCGCCGCCCGUCGUAGCGGCCCGCUUCGGCCCCUCGGGGCCCGGGGCUCUCCGGGACCUACACAGCCCGGGAGACUCCGGCGGGGCCGCCUGCCCUCGCCCGAGCCCGGGGGCCCAGGCUGCGGCAGCGGCUCCCAACGCCUCUGCUCGAGGAGAGCGGCGGCCUGGAUGCCCCAGCGCCCUCCCUGUCCAGUUCCUUGAAGGCCCCCAAGAGGGGCGAGGCCGGGGAGGUGCUGGAGCGGGGCCAAGUGAGCUUUCGGGGCCGCGGUUGAACUGGAGUCUUGAGUGCGCUGCGGUCAGUAGAGGCCCUUCCACCCUCGCCGCGCCCCGUGGGGAAUAGUCCCCCACCUCCCGCCAUGGCUGCAGCAGGAGGAGACGACGUCCUCCAUUUUGUCGGGACAACUGUGGGAACUUGGGACCCCUCAAAACCAAACCCCGUGGGGCCAGGACUUGUCCCGGAAGCCCCGACUGGGCUCUGCCAUUCGGACAAGGGAACAGCCCCAGCUGCCGGCGUCUGCGUCCGCGGGGCAGUACUGGUCGGGCGCGACGGUGGAGACACCCAGACGCAGCUCCCCGCCUCCAUCAACCAAGAUGGAGGGAGCUGCAGGCUCCCUUGGAGCUGGGCUCUCGCGGGUUGGAGGGGCUGAGGCCUGCCCUGGGGCGUCCCUGGGCGCCGCCGUCCUGUGCUAGCAGCCCGGGGCGCUGGCCCUGCCUAGGCCUCUUUACUGCCUGCCACCGUCUCCUGGUCCGGAAUGGUUGAUGGAGGCUCCCUCCACAGCCCGCUCCAUCGCGGGGCGCACCCGCUGCGGCCCCUGGGGGGAGCAGAGUCAGGGACAGACGGCGCCCGGUGAGGGCGGGCCCCACAGGCCACCUCCACGAGGGGUCUUCUCUUUUGUUCCUCGUCUACACCUACGUCUUCGGCGGAUGUCAUGGUGCUGAACCAUUUCCAGGACUCCACGUAAAGAUGGAAGCGAUUCCGCUUUCGUCUCGCCCUGGCGGUUCUUAGUGGGAUUACAAUUGAGGAUGUUAGUUUGGAUGAAAGUUGGUGAAAUACUUACCUUAUGUCUGGAAAUACAGAUAAUGUGAUUUUUAAAAAA
This 1180-nucleotide long non-coding RNA is filed under the name Pan troglodytes (chimpanzee). RNAcentral's name for it is "lincRNA". The record is from RNAcentral. Lineage: Eukaryota; Metazoa; Chordata; Mammalia; Primates; Hominidae.